CAGUAGCCGCGGGAAUACGUAGGUGGCAAGCGUUGUCCGGAAUUAUUGGGCGUAAAGGGCUCGCAGGCGGUUUCUUAAGUCUGAUGUGAAAGCCCCCGGCUCAACCGGGGAGGGUCAUUGGAAACUGGGAAACUUGAGUGCAGAAGAGGAGAGUGGAAUUCCACGUGUAGCGGUGAAAUGCGUAGAGAUGUGGAGGAACACCAGUGGCGAAGGCGACUCCCUGGUCUGUAACUGACGCUGAGGAGCGAAAGCGUGGGGAGCGAACAGGAUUAGAUACCCCGGUAGUCCCUGUCUAUUAUAC
RNAcentral lists this ribosomal RNA (301 nucleotides) under uncultured bacterium. Its description in RNAcentral is "partial 16S ribosomal RNA". It matches the Rfam family "Bacterial small subunit ribosomal RNA", at positions 509 to 807 of the family's 1533-position model. The record is from RNAcentral.